CUUUAUGGUGCAGAUUGGGAGAAAAGACUUGAGGCAAAGGAAUUACGGACAAACUUUAUGCACUUGAGCCAUUUGAGCAAGUGGGUAUUCUUCAUAUGUUCUUCUUCCACACCAAUGGUUCUUUAGCUUAUGGUUUUCCCCUGGUGGUGGGUUUUACAAAAUCUUUUGCUCUAAGAAAUAGAUCAAAUUUUGUAUUUAGGGGAGCUAUCAGGCUAUCACUUCUCUAGAAAUUUAAAUCCCUUCACUCUUAACUCUAUUUUCUGGGGUUAAAUAAAUAGUCAAAGCAAUAUUUGACUAUUUGAGACUAUAUUGUAUUCAUACUAUAAUUUAUUACUCUGAUUUUUUUUUAUUUUUUU
Long non-coding RNA from Ipomoea nil (Japanese morning glory), 356 nucleotides. RefSeq lists it as uncharacterized. The record is from RefSeq and is a predicted model, not a curated record. The transcript is spliced from 2 exons. Lineage: Eukaryota; Viridiplantae; Streptophyta; Magnoliopsida; Solanales; Convolvulaceae.